Small nucleolar RNA from Callithrix jacchus (white-tufted-ear marmoset), 80 nucleotides. Lineage: Eukaryota; Metazoa; Chordata; Mammalia; Primates; Cebidae. The record is from Ensembl.
UAGAAAAGCUUCUGAUAAAGCCUAUGUCGGUAGAGACAUCUGAGAGUAUUGAUGAAUGUCAACAGCUUAAAUGAGGAAAA